Molecule: ribosomal RNA, 825 nt
Filed under: Triticum aestivum (bread wheat)
Lineage: Eukaryota; Viridiplantae; Streptophyta; Magnoliopsida; Poales; Poaceae
Description: partial small subunit ribosomal RNA
Source: RNAcentral
AUGGCAUCUCAGGAAGAGGGGGGCGGAUCACGCCCUAGGAAGGAACCAAUCGAGGAUCUUCUGAAACGUCUGGAUCUGCAGGAAGAUGAAGAGGAUCACUUCGUGUGGGAGGAGGAGUUUCAGGAGGAACAGGUGGUGGUGAAGUGGCUAGCCAUUGCGAAGGUCCACAUAGAUAAGGGGUUUAGUCCCUCUGCUCUCUAUGCCGAUAUGAGAUCCGCAUGGAAUCCAGCAAAGGAACCACGAUGGCACAGGAUUGAAGACAAUCUGUUCACGGUGCAAUUUGGCUGUUUGGGUGAUUGGAAUACGGCAAUGAACAUGGGGCCAUGGCUCUUUCGUGAUCACGGCCUCCUGAUUGCAGAAUACGAUGGGUUUACGAAACCAACAUCCAUUGUUCUUGAUAAGAUAACGGUUUGGGCAAGAAUCAUGAAGCUACCGGAUAAUUAUCUCAUACCGGCUGCAAUAAGAGGGAUGUGCAGGAAGAUGGGGAAAAACCUGGAUAUCCAGACUACCCUACCAGCAGGUUUUGCAGGCGAAUUUGUCCGAGUCAGAGUGGAGCUUGAUGUUACAAAGAAACUGAUCCGGUUUGUAGGGAUCACAAAGAAGGAGGUUACAGACUAUUACCAGGUCCAGUAUGAAAAACUACCCAUCUUCUGUGGGCAUUGCGGUAUGAUGGGCCAUUGGUACCAAGAGUGUGGAACUGGGGAACACGACGUGACCAAGCUUGAAUGGGGAGAUUUCUUAUUGGCUGAUGGUGGUAGAGGCCGUGGAAGAGGAUGUGGUUCUGGCCUACCUCUACCCCUGGUGACAAUACUAAUAUUAAUAUGA